UGCUUGUUGGUUGUCUAUGGUAAGGGUGUGUCCAGUUGAGAAAGGCCGGAGAUAGGAAUCCAAGGACUUUCCAACUGACAGCUCGAAGAUAUUUUCUGCUAUGAGGAUGGAGAACCAGGUUACCAGAACUUAGGCAUUAGCUUUGGACUAAAAUAUGCUUUGUUCCAGGUUUUUGAUCCUUCACACAGUAAAGGCAUCAUCAGAUCCUUUGCGCGGUUGCAACUCCAACGGGCAGGUUUUUGAUCUGGUGUCGCAUAUCACACUGAGCACAUAAGCAAGAACCUUGUGCAGGAUGCUCUAAAGUACAAGAUGAGAGGAGGUCUUGCAUCUGUUCACAAAAUUGCUAACCAAGGUCCGGAUUCCUUCACUGAUAAACUAUAGUUAACGGUUGGAGAUCAGAGGUCUUGGUCCAUGAAUAAAAAAUAGAAGAUGGAUUCGUCAUUAGUUGUAGACAAUGGAAGUGCCACCAUAUUUUGCCACAACCUAAAGAAAACGAGCAACUAAAUCCAGUUCUUCUAAUGGAUACUCCACCGAGAGUUACCGGCAGCCAACGGAGGGAAACGACUUAGUCAUAUUUGAUCCAUCCAGAAAAAAAUGGCACUACCAAAGCUUUAUAUAUCCGGAGGGCGGUCUCUCCUCGUGGCUCCUCAAACAUCUUUCCUUGCUCAUAAGCACAUGAAGUUGCACCAACCAGGAUUCCAGCGCGAAAGGGUAGUUGUGGAGGGUUUCGGGCAUUCGGGUUUGUUGAUUGGAGAGAUUCUCACAAGACAGUUUUUCCUCACAUUUUAUCUCCCAUACUAUUAGCUGAAAACGGAAGGAGUGGGAAGGGAAAGAGGUUCAGAAAAGAGGCAUUGGAUUAGGAAGCUGAUG
This 870-nucleotide small RNA is filed under the name Malus domestica (apple). Its description in RNAcentral is "sRNA MD14G0026800". Lineage: Eukaryota; Viridiplantae; Streptophyta; Magnoliopsida; Rosales; Rosaceae. The record is from RNAcentral.